RNAcentral lists this transfer RNA (69 nucleotides) under Curculionoidea sp. 8 KM-2017. RNAcentral's name for it is "tRNA-Met". It matches the Rfam family "tRNA". From Rfam's summary of the family: Transfer RNA (tRNA) molecules are approximately 80 nucleotides in length. The record is from RNAcentral. Lineage: Eukaryota; Metazoa; Arthropoda; Insecta; Coleoptera.
AAAAAGGUAAGCUAACAAAGCUAAUGGGUUCAUACCCCAUUUAUAAAGGUUUUAAUCCUUUCCUUUUUA